UAUCAAUAGACCAUAGUUAAACUUUGAUUACAUUUACUACUUUGUAAGAAGACAAUGAAAACCCUUAUCCCAAUGACCCAAACUGAGACAGCAGCAUGGGGCCAUGACUCACCUUGGGAUCUCUCCUGCCACCACCGCCAGAGGAGGGGUCUCGGCCCCACGCAGCCUGGCCUGGCCUUCGGCUUCCACCCUAUAAGGGAGACCCAAGAGACAAGGUGACACCCACAGUGAGACGCCAUCGACUGGGCUCCUCGGGCGGUCGGCGCUGCCCCGUUGGGCUCGAGGAUGGAAAGGCAGGAAGAGAAAGGCCCCGUUUCCUUGCGAGUGGACCUCAGAGUUCCAGACACACAUUAUUCGUCAUCGAUGCCUCAUACGCUGGCAUUGAUCAUCAUCGAUCCAGAAAAGGGGGACCUCAGAGUUCCAGACACACAUUAUUCGUCAUCGAUGCCUCAUACGCUGGCAUUGAUCAUCAUCGAUCCAGAAAAGGGGGACCUUCUCUUCCUUCGCCAUGGCCCGUGGAGUCAGGCAUUCCUCCCCGCACGGCCACUGGGCAACCCAAGGGGCCCGCCCCACCCAACGAGGCCUCGCCAUCCCUCGGGGGGGCCUCUAGGACCCGUCCCCUGGCUUUCGGUCUCUCUGGGCCGCGGAGGACCAGCUGGGCCCCUGUGCAGGACGUCCAAGAGACCUUCCUAGCCAGAGCUGUCCCAUCCCUGGGACGCCAGAGCCCUUCUGGACUGCUGGCCUCGCCCGCAUCUGCCGCCCACCCUCCACCAGCCCCUCGCACUGCCCUGCCCAGCCCAGCCCCGACAAGCCCUGGGAUGCUGCUCACACUGGCCUUCUGGAUCCAGAGACAACGCUGCCAUCCUCGCCUGCUCAUCCAGGAAGGAGCCUG
This 892-nucleotide long non-coding RNA is filed under the name Sus scrofa (pig). RNAcentral describes it as "lncRNA (ENSSSCG00065042616.1)". Lineage: Eukaryota; Metazoa; Chordata; Mammalia; Artiodactyla; Suidae. The record is from RNAcentral.